AGUUAUUCAAAUCCUAUGGUUGGGCACUUCCACCCAUCAUCUUAUCUUGGCUGAUAGCUACUGGCCCCAAAGCUUUCCUUAUGGCAUUAGCCCUUCCUCUAGGGCAGUCAGCCCUAACUUUUGUGUUUGGAAAGUUGUGGGGGAGCACACAAAGUAAGCCAAACUCCAAGGCCAGAAAGAAGAGGAAACCAUUUGGCAGCUCUUCCAGCAAUGUUGAAAUGGAUGAUG
RNAcentral lists this unclassified non-coding RNA (228 nucleotides) under Hevea brasiliensis (rubber tree). The record is from RNAcentral. Lineage: Eukaryota; Viridiplantae; Streptophyta; Magnoliopsida; Malpighiales; Euphorbiaceae.